Molecule: transfer RNA, 72 nt
Filed under: Stegodyphus mimosarum
Lineage: Eukaryota; Metazoa; Arthropoda; Arachnida; Araneae; Eresidae
Rfam family: tRNA
About the family: Transfer RNA (tRNA) molecules are approximately 80 nucleotides in length. Their secondary structure includes four short double-helical elements and three loops (D, anti-codon, and T loops). Further hydrogen bonds mediate the characteristic L-shaped molecular structure. tRNAs have two regions of fundamental functional importance: the anti-codon, which is responsible for specific mRNA codon recognition, and the 3' end, to which the tRNAs corresponding amino acid is attached (by aminoacyl-tRNA synthetases). tRNAs cope with the degeneracy of the genetic code in two manners: having more than one tRNA (with a specific anti-codon) for a particular amino acid; and 'wobble' base-pairing, i.e. permitting non-standard base-pairing at the 3rd anti-codon position.
Source: Rfam by way of RNAcentral
GCCUUUGUGGUGUAGUGGUCAGCACACUUGGCGCGUAACCGAGAGGCCCGUGGUUCGAUUCAAGCGAAGGCG